Molecule: ribosomal RNA, 1203 nt
Filed under: Phaeosphaeriopsis sp.
Lineage: Eukaryota; Fungi; Ascomycota; Dothideomycetes; Pleosporales; Phaeosphaeriaceae
Description: LSU rRNA
Rfam family: Eukaryotic large subunit ribosomal RNA
Source: RNAcentral
GGGUCCGAGUUGUAAUUUGCAGAGGGCGCUUUGGCAUUGGCAGCGGUCCAAGUUCCUUGGAACAGGACGUCACAGAGGGUGAGAAUCCCGUACGUGGUCGCUAUCCUUUGCUGUGUAAAGCCCCUUCGACGAGUCGAGUUGUUUGGGAAUGCAGCUUCUAAAUGGGAGGUAAAUUUCUUCUAAAGCUAAAUACUGGCCAGAGACCGAUAGCGCACCAAGUAGAGUGAUCGAAAGAUGAAAAGCACUUUGGAAAGAGAGUCAAAUAGCACGUGAAAUUGUUGAAAGGGAAGCGCUUGCAGCCAGACUUGCCUGUAGUUGCUUAUCUGGACUUUUGUCCAGUGCACUCUUCUGCAGGCAGGCCAGCAUCAGUUUGGGCGGUUGGAUAAAGGUCUCUGUCAUGUACCUCUUUUCGGGGAGGCCUUAUAGGGGAGACGACAUGCAACCAGCCCAGACUGAGGUCCGCGCAUCUGCUAGGAUGCUGGCGUAAUGGCUGUAAGCGGCCCGUCUUGAAACACGGACCAAGGAGUCUAACAUCUAUGCGAGUGUUUGGGUGUCAAGCCCAGACGCGUAAUGAAAGUGAACGGAGGUGGGAACCCUUUGGGUGCACCAUCGACCGAUCCUGAUGUCUUCGGAAGGAUUUGAGUAAGAGCAUGGCUGUUGGGACCCGAAAGAUGGUGAACUAUGCUUGAAUAGGGUGAAGCCAGAGGAAACUCUGGUGGAGGCUCGCAGCGGUUCUGACGUGCAAAUCGAUCGUCAAAUUUGGGCAUAGGGGCGAAAGACUAAUCGAACUAUCUAGUAGCUGGUUCCUGCCGAAGUUUCCCUCAGGAUAGCAGUAACGUAUUCAGUUUUAUGAGGUAAAGCGAAUGAUUAGAGGCCUGGGGGUUGAAACAACCUUCACCUAUUCUCAAACUUUAAAUAUGUAAGAAGUCCUUGUUACUUGAUUGAACGUGGACAUUUGAAUGUACCGUUACUAGUGGGCCAUUUUUGGUAAGCAGAACUGGCGAUGCGGGAUGAACCGAACGCGGGGUUAAGGUGCCAGAAUAUACGCUCAUCAGACACCACAAAAGGUGUUAGUUCAUCUAGACAGCAGGACGGUGGCCAUGGAAGUCGGAAUCCGCUAAGGAGUGUGUAACAACUCACCUGCCGAAUGAACUAGCCCUGAAAAUGGAUGGCGCUCAAGCGUAUUACCCAUACCCCGCCGCC